GUGCUCACUCUAGCAGCACAUACACUAAAAUUGGACCGAUACAGAGAAGAUUAGCAUGGGCUCUGCACAAGGAUGAUAUAUAAAUUUGUGAAGCAUUCCAUUAAAAA
Phodopus roborovskii (desert hamster) is the source of this 107-nucleotide small nuclear RNA. The record is from RefSeq and is a predicted model, not a curated record. Lineage: Eukaryota; Metazoa; Chordata; Mammalia; Rodentia; Cricetidae.